UACAGAGGGGGCAAGCGUUGUUCGGAAUUACUGGGCGUAAAGGGCGCGUAGGCGGCCUGCUAAGUCGGACGUGAAAUCCCUGAGCUCAACCCAGGAACUGCGUCCGAUACUGGUUGGCUUGAAUCCGGGAGAGGGAUGUGGAAUUCCAGGUGUAGCGGUGAAAUGCGUAGAUAUCUGGAGGAACACCGGUGGCGAAGGCGACAUCCUGGACCGGUAUUGACGCUGAGGCGCGAAAGCCAGGGGAGCAAACGGG
This 253-nucleotide ribosomal RNA is filed under the name uncultured bacterium. Its description in RNAcentral is "partial 16S ribosomal RNA". It matches the Rfam family "Bacterial small subunit ribosomal RNA", at positions 524 to 776 of the family's 1533-position model. The record is from RNAcentral.